AAUAAGUUUAUUUUUUAAUUGUGGAUAUAAUGCUUUGACUCUUCGUUUUAUUUGCAAUUUUUCUGCGAUUAAUAUUUUUAUUGUUACUAGACGAUAAAAUAUGAAUAGCAUUUUAUACAUGACUAAUUUUUUAAAUUUUGUGUAUAAUUUUUUCGAAUAAGAUGAAUCAAAACUUUAGACACAGAAAUCAAAAAAUGAAGUUAUU
RNAcentral lists this microRNA precursor (205 nucleotides) under Oryza brachyantha (malo sina). RNAcentral's name for it is "MIR812 microRNA precursor family". It matches the Rfam family "MIR812 microRNA precursor family". Lineage: Eukaryota; Viridiplantae; Streptophyta; Magnoliopsida; Poales; Poaceae. The record is from Rfam by way of RNAcentral.